GAUGAACGCUGGCGGCGUGCCUAAUACAUGCAAGUCGAGCGAACGGACGAGAAGCUUGCUUCUCUGAUGUUAGCGGCGGACGGGUGAGUAACACGUGGAUAACCUACCUAUAAGACUGGGAUAACUUCGGGAAACCGGAGCUAAUACCGGAUAAUAUUUUGAACCGCAUGGUUCAAAAGUGAAAGACGGUCUUGCUGUCACUUAUAGAUGGAUCCGCGCUGCAUUAGCUAGUUGGUAAGGUAACGGCUUACCAAGGCAACGAUGCAUAGCCGACCUGAGAGGGUGAUCGGCCACACUGGAACUGAGACACGGUCCAGACUCCUACGGGAGGCAGCAGUAGGGAAUCUUCCGCAAUGGGCGAAAGCCUGACGGAGCAACGCCGCGUGAGUGAUGAAGGUCUUCGGAUCGUAAAACUCUGUUAUUAGGGAAGAACAUAUGUGUAAGUAACUGUGCACAUCUUGACGGUACCUAAUCAGAAAGCCACGGCUAA
RNAcentral lists this ribosomal RNA (490 nucleotides) under uncultured bacterium. RNAcentral's name for it is "partial 16S ribosomal RNA". It matches the Rfam family "Bacterial small subunit ribosomal RNA", at positions 28 to 500 of the family's 1533-position model. The record is from RNAcentral.